This 113-nucleotide ribosomal RNA is filed under the name Betaproteobacteria bacterium. The record is from RNAcentral. Lineage: Bacteria; Pseudomonadati; Pseudomonadota; Betaproteobacteria.
CCUGACGACCAUAGCCUGCCGGCACCACCCCUUCCCAUCCCGAACAGGACCGUGAAACGGCAGCACGCCGAUGAUAGUGCGCAUCCGCGCGCGAAAGUAGGUCAUUGUCAGGC